CUCAAGUGAUGGACAAAUGCCCAAGAAGCAGUAUGACCAAUUGGGAUGUAUUUGUACUGUCUGAUGGG
Molecule: small nucleolar RNA, 68 nt
Filed under: Otolemur garnettii (small-eared galago)
Lineage: Eukaryota; Metazoa; Chordata; Mammalia; Primates; Galagidae
Description: Small nucleolar RNA ZL2
Rfam family: Small nucleolar RNA ZL2
About the family: Host gene TNPO2.
Source: Rfam by way of RNAcentral